AAUGACAUCUCCUUAAUCGGAGAGUUCCCUUCGGGGACAUUGGUGACAGGUGGUGCAUGGUUGUCGUCAGCUCGUGUCGUGAGAUGUUGGGUUAAGUCCCGCAACGAGCGCAACCCUUGUCUUUAGUUGCCAUCAUUAAGUUGGGCACUCUAGAGAGACUGCCAGGGAUAACCUGGAGGAAGGUGGGGAUGACGUCAAAUCAUCAUGCCCCUUAUGCUUAGGGCUACACACGUGCUACAAUGGGUAGUACAGAGGGUUGCCAAGCCGUAAGGUGGAGCUAAUCCCUUAAAGCUACUCUCAGUUCGGAUUGUAGGCUGAAACUCGCCUACAUGAAGCUGGAGUUACUAGUAAUCGCAGAUCAGAAUGCUGCGGUGAAUGCGUUCCCGGGUCUUGUACACACCGCCCGUCACACCACGGGAGUUGGAGACGCCCGAAGCCGAUUAUCUAACCUUUUGGAAGAAGUCGUCGAAGGUGGAAUCAAUAACUGGGGUGAAGUCGUAACAAGGUAGCCGUAUCGGAAGGUGCGGCUGGAUCACCUCCUUUCUAAGGA
RNAcentral lists this ribosomal RNA (550 nucleotides) under Clostridioides difficile. Its description in RNAcentral is "bacterial SSU rRNA". It matches the Rfam family "Bacterial small subunit ribosomal RNA", at positions 990 to 1533 of the family's 1533-position model. Lineage: Bacteria; Bacillati; Bacillota; Clostridia; Peptostreptococcales; Peptostreptococcaceae. The record is from RNAcentral.